CAUUGCAGGUCACUUUCUUACUUUAAAAUAACAGUCUAAGACACUUAUAGCUACCAACACACUUUUUCUAUGGCAAAAGACGAGAAUAACCUUAAAACCUAAUCAAAGUAAUUGCUACCUCCUCUUUCCUUUCCUCAAGCCGUACCAUCUCUGUUUCCAUCUCUUUUUCUUUCCUCUUUCUCUAUCUCCUUAACUCUUCAAUUUCUUGCCGUAAUCGCUCUUAAAUUUCUUGCCGUAAUUGCUUGUUCUCCUCCUCUGCUAAUCUUGACGUCUCUUUACUCGAAUCCUCUAUUUGAGAUUUGAGCAACAUGACAACAUAAACAGAUUCCCUGAGUAGGUUGACCUAUGCAUGUGGGAAGUAAACGUCGAAAGAUGGCCGGUGUUGGAAACGAGUUGACGCGGCAGAAACUGAUUCAGUCACUCCUCAAUCUCCGUAACUCGAUUCGCGAUGGUGUAGCGCAGAUUCUUUGGUGGAACAUGUUCUAUUUUUUUUUAAUUUCAUUUAGCUCUUGUACACUUGAUCCUUCUUUUUUUCCUUAUUUUCUAGUCAUGUAUGCCUUCUAAAAUGUUAGUGUUCAUGAAGGUGGGAUAUGUCUUUGUGCGAUAAUGUUACUUAUAUUUUUUGCAAAUCUAUCUUUCACCAUAUAAAUUGAUAGAUUGUAAUCUUUAACAUUUAAACAUGAAGCUUAUUGAGGAUAUAC
Brassica napus (rape) is the source of this 701-nucleotide long non-coding RNA. RefSeq lists it as uncharacterized. The transcript is spliced from 2 exons. The record is from RefSeq and is a predicted model, not a curated record. NCBI's taxonomy places the organism in Eukaryota, Viridiplantae, Streptophyta, Magnoliopsida, Brassicales, Brassicaceae.